Molecule: long non-coding RNA, 597 nt
Organism: Tachysurus vachellii
Lineage: Eukaryota; Metazoa; Chordata; Actinopteri; Siluriformes; Bagridae
Exons: 4
Source: RefSeq, a predicted model, not a curated record
UUAGGACAGAUAAAACAAGUUUUUUUUGUUGUUGUCUAGACGAUAUUUUCAUGUGAAUAACACAACUGUGACAGCCACUGCACAACACACAAAUAACAAACGACAACUAUGUCACUUCCAUCUUGUGACUUCACCGGUUUUAAUAUAUGAAGCCACAGGAAAUAUCAGCAGCAGAAAACGCCACACUGAAUCAAGCAAACACACACAGCAGGUCUCACAUUCCAGAAUUUUGAGAGUGAGUUAAGGAACUGCAAAGAAAUGAACAAUAAGUAUGAUACUACUUUUUAUACUGACUGGUUUCGUUACUUCUUGUUCUCCAUCUGGACUUUUCUGAUUGCAAUGAUUUGGAUUGUAACAUACCUGGAAAUGAAGCUGAAGUGGAGAAUCAGAAAUUUCUAUCUCUCUCAAAAUGCCGCGGAUACAAACAUCAUUUGGGAGAAUCCAUAGGCAUUAAACAACCUAGAAACUUCACCACAAUGAUAUGACAUGUAAUGAAAUUCUUGUUCCUUUGAAUCUCUUUUUGUUUGAAUACUUAGUUUGAUUAUUUUUUUCUGUCUAUUGAAUACAUUAUUGUAUUUUCCCUUAUUUUGUCUGCUG